GGAAUAUUGGACAAUGGGCGAAAGCCUGAUCCAGCAAUGCCGCGUGAGUGAUGAAGGCCCUAGGGUUGUAAAGCUCUUUUACCAGGGAUGAUAAUGACAGUACCUGGAGAAUAAGCUCCGGCUAACUCCGUGCCAGCAGCCGCGGUAAUACGGAGGGAGCUAGCGUUGUUCGGAUAUACUGGGCGUAAAGCGCACGUAGGCGGCGCCGCAAGUCAGGGGUGAAAUCCCGGGGCUCAACCCCGGAACUGCCCUUGAAACUAGAUUGCUAGAAUCCUGGAGAGGCGAGUGGAAUUCCGAGUGUAGAGGUGAAAUUCGUAGAUAUUCGGAAGAACACCAGUGGCGAAGGCGACUCGCUGGACAGGUAUUGACGCUGAGGUGCGAAAGCGUGGGGAGCAAAC
RNAcentral lists this ribosomal RNA (398 nucleotides) under uncultured bacterium. Its description in RNAcentral is "bacterial SSU rRNA". It matches the Rfam family "Bacterial small subunit ribosomal RNA", at positions 358 to 773 of the family's 1533-position model. The record is from RNAcentral.